AAUCUUCCACAAUGGAACGAAAGUCUGAUGGAGCAACGCCGCGUGAGUGAAGAAGGGUUUCGGCUCGUAAAGCUCUGUUGGUAGUGAAAGAAAGAUAGAGGUAGUAACUGGCCUUUAUUUGACGGUAAUUACUUAGAAAGUCACGGCUAACUACGUGCC
RNAcentral lists this ribosomal RNA (159 nucleotides) under uncultured bacterium. RNAcentral's name for it is "partial 16S ribosomal RNA". It matches the Rfam family "Bacterial small subunit ribosomal RNA", at positions 360 to 509 of the family's 1533-position model. The record is from RNAcentral.